ACCAUCCUAAGGUAGCGAAAUUCCUUGUCGGGUAAGUUCCGACCUGCACGAAUGGAGUAACGAUUUGGGCGCUGUCUCCACCACGAACCCGGUGAAAUUGCAUUACGAGUAAAGAUGCUCGUUACGCGCAGCAGGACGGAAAGACCCCGGGACCUUUACUAUAGUUUGGUAUUGGUGAUCGGUGUGACUUGUGUAGGAUAGGUGGGAGACUGUGAAACCGGGACGCUAGUUCCGGUGGAGUCAUCGUUGAAAUACCACUCUGGUCACUCUGGUUAUCUAACCUAGGACCGUUAUCCGGUUCAGGGACAGUGCCUGAUGGGUAGUUUGACUGGGGCGGUCGCCUCCUAAAAGGUAACGGAGGCGCCCAAAGGUUCCCUCAGCCUGGUUGGCAAUCAGGUUACGAGUGUAAGUGCACAAGGGAGCUUGACUGCGAGACUGACGGGUCGAGCAGGGACGAAAGUCGGGACUAGUGAUCUUCUGGUAGCGAAUGGAAGCGCCAGGACUCAACGGAUAAAAGGUACCCCGGGGAUAACAGGCUGAUCUUGCCCGAGCGUCCAUAGCGACGGCAUGGUUUGGCACCUCGAUGUCGGCUCGUCGCAUCCUGGGGCUGGAGUCGGUCCCAAGGGUUGGGCUGUUCGCCCAUUAAAGCGGCACGCGAGCUGGGUUUAGAACGUCGUGAGACAGUUCGGUCCCUAUCCGCUGCGCGCGUAGGAGUCUUGAGAAGGGCUGUCCUUAGUACGAGAGGACCGGGACGGACCAACCUCUGGUGUGCCAGUUGUUCCGCCAGGAGCACGGCUGGUUGGCUACGUUGGGAAAUGAUAACCGCUGAAAGCAUCUAAGCGGGAAGCACGCUUCAAGAUGAGGACUCCCACACCAACAAGGUGGUAAGGCCCCCUGCAGACCACAGGGUCGAUAGGUCGGACGUGGAAGCACAGUAAUGCGUGAAGCUGACCGAUACUAAUAGGCCGAGGGCUUGCCACA
RNAcentral lists this ribosomal RNA (981 nucleotides) under human metagenome. RNAcentral's name for it is "bacterial LSU rRNA". It matches the Rfam family "Bacterial large subunit ribosomal RNA", at positions 1945 to 2925 of the family's 2925-position model. The record is from RNAcentral.